AUAUAUUUUAUAUUUAUAUAUAAGGGGCGG
This 30-nucleotide transfer RNA is filed under the name Lithospermum distichum. RNAcentral's name for it is "partial tRNA-His". Lineage: Eukaryota; Viridiplantae; Streptophyta; Magnoliopsida; Boraginales; Boraginaceae. The record is from RNAcentral.